GGAAGGGCCAUAGCUUAGUGGUAGAGCAUCUGCUUUGCAUGCAGAAGGUCCCAGGUUCAAUCCCCGGCCUCUCCA
RNAcentral lists this transfer RNA (75 nucleotides) under Podarcis lilfordi (Lilford's wall lizard). RNAcentral's name for it is "tRNA.Ala". The stretch from base 11 to 67 matches the Rfam family "tRNA", at positions 8 to 63 of the family's 71-position model. Rfam says of the family: Transfer RNA (tRNA) molecules are approximately 80 nucleotides in length. Their secondary structure includes four short double-helical elements and three loops (D, anti-codon, and T loops). Lineage: Eukaryota; Metazoa; Chordata; Lepidosauria; Squamata; Lacertidae. The record is from RNAcentral.